Molecule: ribosomal RNA, 254 nt
Filed under: uncultured bacterium
Lineage: Bacteria
Description: partial 16S ribosomal RNA
Rfam family: Bacterial small subunit ribosomal RNA
Source: RNAcentral
GACAGAGGGCGCAAGCGUUGUUCGGAAUUAUUGGGCGUAAAGAGCUCGUAGGCGGUGUGUCGCGUCGGCCGUGAAAACCUGCAGCUUAACUGUGGGCGUGCGGUCGAUACGGGCAUCACUGGAGUUCGGCAGGGGAGACUGGAAUUCCUGGUGUAGCGGUGAAAUGCGCAGAUAUCAGGAGGAACACCGGUGGCGAAGGCGGGUCUCUGGACAGUUCCUGACACUGAGACACGAAGGCCAGGGGAGCAAACGGG